ACGCUGGCGGCAGGCCUAACACAUGCAAGUCGAACGGUCUCUUCGGAAGCAGUGGCACACGGGUUAAUAACGCGUGGGAAUCUACCCAUCUCUACGGAACAACUCCGGGAAACUGGAGCUAAUACCGUAUACGCCCUUUUGGGGAAAGAUUUAUCGGGGAUGGAUGAGCCCGCGUCGGAUCAUCUAGUAGGUGGGGUAAAGGCCUACCAAGGCGACGAUCCAUAGCUGGUCUGAGAGGAUGAUCAGCCACAUUGGGACUGAGACACGGUCCAAACUCAAUACGGGAGGCAGCAGUGGGGAAUAUUGGACAAUGGGCGCAAGCCUGAUCCAGCCAUGCCGCGUGAGUGAUGAACG
Molecule: ribosomal RNA, 354 nt
Filed under: Rhizobium sp. Sal2
Lineage: Bacteria; Pseudomonadati; Pseudomonadota; Alphaproteobacteria; Hyphomicrobiales; Rhizobiaceae
Description: bacterial SSU rRNA
Rfam family: Bacterial small subunit ribosomal RNA
Source: RNAcentral